RNAcentral lists this ribosomal RNA (433 nucleotides) under uncultured bacterium. RNAcentral's name for it is "partial 16S ribosomal RNA". It matches the Rfam family "Bacterial small subunit ribosomal RNA", at positions 29 to 507 of the family's 1533-position model. The record is from RNAcentral.
AACGAACGAGGGGGGAAGGACGAACACAUGCAAGUCGAACGAAGCCUUCGGGCUUAGUGGCGCACGGGUGCGUAACGCGUGGGAAUCUGCCCUUGGGUUCGGAAUAACAGUUAGAAAUGACUGCUAAUACCGGAUGAUGUCUUCGGACAAAAGAUUUAUCGCCCAAGGAUGAGCACGCGUCGGAUUAGCUAGUUGGUGAGGUAAAGGCUCACCAAGGCGACGAUCCGUAGCUGGUCUGAGAGGAUGAUCAGCCACACUGGGACUGAGACACGGCCCAGACUCCUACGGGAGGCAGCAGUGGGGAAUAUUGGACAAUGGGCGAAAGCCUGAUCCAGCAAUGCCGCGUGAGUGAUGAAGGCCUUAGGGUUGUAAAGCUCUUUUACCCGGGAUGAUAAUGACAGUACCGGGAGAAUAAGCCCCGGCUAACUCCGUG